This 198-nucleotide ribosomal RNA is filed under the name uncultured Desulfobacca sp. Its description in RNAcentral is "partial 16S ribosomal RNA". It matches the Rfam family "Bacterial small subunit ribosomal RNA", at positions 1187 to 1382 of the family's 1533-position model. Lineage: Bacteria; Pseudomonadati; Thermodesulfobacteriota; Desulfobaccia; Desulfobaccales; Desulfobaccaceae. The record is from RNAcentral.
AAGUCCUCAUGGCCUUUAUGCCUAGGGCUACACACGUGCUACAAUAGGGCGGUACAAAGGGUUGCAAUCCCGCGAGGGGGAGCCAAUCCCAAAAAGCCGGUCUCAGUUCGGAUUGGAGUCUGCAACUCGACUCCAUGAAGUUGGAAUCGCUAGUAAUCGCGGAUCAGCAUGCCGCGGUCGAAUACGUUCCCGGGCCUU